UACGGAGGGUGCAAGCGUUAAUCGGAAUUACUGGGCGUAAAGCGUGCGUAGGUGGUUUAUUAAGUUAUCUGUAAAAUACCUGGGCUCAACCUAGGAGUGCCAGAUAAGACUGAUAGACUAGAGUAGUGGAGAGGGUAGUGGAAUUUCCGGUGUAGCGGUGAAAUGCGUAGAGAUCGGAAGGAACACCGGUGGCGAAGGCGGCUACCUGGCCUAAUACUGACACUGAGGUACGAAAGCGUGGGGAGCAAACAGG
RNAcentral lists this ribosomal RNA (253 nucleotides) under uncultured bacterium. Its description in RNAcentral is "partial 16S ribosomal RNA". It matches the Rfam family "Bacterial small subunit ribosomal RNA", at positions 524 to 776 of the family's 1533-position model. The record is from RNAcentral.